RNAcentral lists this ribosomal RNA (797 nucleotides) under Pezicula rubi. RNAcentral describes it as "eukaryotic LSU rRNA". It matches the Rfam family "Eukaryotic large subunit ribosomal RNA", at positions 109 to 923 of the family's 3401-position model. Lineage: Eukaryota; Fungi; Ascomycota; Leotiomycetes; Helotiales; Dermateaceae. The record is from RNAcentral.
UCAAAUUUGAAAUCUGGGCCUUUCAGGCUCCGAGUUGUAAUUUGUAGAAGAUGCUUUGGGUGCGGCCCCGGUCUAAGUUCCUUGGAACAGGACGUCAUAGAGGGUGAGAAUCCCGUAUGUGAUCGGUGGCCUGCGCCCGUGUAAAGCUCUUUCGACGAGUCGGGUUGUUUGGGAAUGCAGCUCUAAAUGGGUGGUAAAUUUCAUCUAAAGCUAAAUAUUGGCCAGAGACCGAUAGCGCACAAGUAGAGUGAUCGAAAGAUGAAAAGCACUUUGGAAAGAGAGUUAAACAGUACGUGAAAUUGUUGAAAGGGAAGCGCUUGCAACCAGACUUGCGCGGGGUUGAUCAUCCGGGGUUCUCCCCGGUGCACUCGGCCCCGCUCAGGCCAGCAUCGGUUUCGGUGGUUGGAUAAAGGCCUUGGGAAUGUGACUUCCUUCGGGGAGUGUUAUAGCCCUCGGUGCAAUGCAGCCUACCGGGACCGAGGACCGCGCUUCGGCUAGGAUGCUGGCGUAAUGGUUGUAAGCGACCCGUCUUGAAACACGGACCAAGGAGUCUAACAUCUAUGCGAGUGUUUGGGUGUCAAACCCAUACGCGUAAUGAAAGUGAACGGAGGUGAGAACCCUUAAGGGUGCAUCAUCGACCGAUCCUGAUGUCUUCGGAUGGAUUUGAGUAAGAGCAUAGCUGUUGGGACCCGAAAGAUGGUGAACUAUGCCUGAAUAGGGUGAAGCCAGAGGAAACUCUGGUGGAGGCUCGCAGCGGUUCUGACGUGCAAAUCGAUCGUCAAAUUUGGGCAUAGGGG